CUAAAGCUACAGGACGGGACAAAAUGACACAUUUUGUAUGGGUUAUAGAGGAAAAAGCACCAUUUUGUAAUUAGAAACUAAACAAAAUGAUAGAAUUGUUAAAUACUUCAGGAAAAGAUAGCUUUCAGACACUGCUUUGAGAAUAUCAAAAGAAAAGAUAGGGUCAUCGUACGUUUUUUCCGGCUAAAAUACAAAAUAGGAAAAUUCCAUGUAGAAUCCUUCAGAAACUGUACUAUUUUAGAGUUACCUCCCCUUAAAAUGCCAAUUUUAAAAAAAAAAUAAAAACAACC
This 290-nucleotide long non-coding RNA is filed under the name Mytilus galloprovincialis (Mediterranean mussel). The record is from RNAcentral. Lineage: Eukaryota; Metazoa; Mollusca; Bivalvia; Mytilida; Mytilidae.